This is a non-coding RNA of Drosophila virilis, 413 nucleotides long. Lineage: Eukaryota; Metazoa; Arthropoda; Insecta; Diptera; Drosophilidae. The record is from Rfam.
UUAAUCUGGACAUCAAUCGCGUCCAGGGCUAUCGCUUCUCCUGCAACAAGCUCUGGAAUGCUACCACGCUACGUCCGUUGGAUUAUGCCUGAACGCCUCUAAGGUCGUAUCCGUGCUGGACUGCAAUGAUAAAUAAGGGGCAAUUUGCAUUGUAUGGCUUCUAAACCAUUAAAAGUUUUUAAUUUGUUUUAUUAACGACAAUGGAUGUGAUGCCAAUGUUAUUUAUAACAUAGUAAAUUGGGAGGAUCUUCGAUCACCUGAUGCCGCGCUAGUUAUAUUUUAAAACAUUAUUUAAUACAAUGUCAAAGCCUAGAAUCAAUUGUAAACGACUUUUGUAACAGGCAAGGUGUUGUAAGUGGUUGAGCAGCUGCCAUACUGCGAUCCACUGAAGCUUAUCCUUUGCUUGAUGAUUC